This 85-nucleotide transfer RNA is filed under the name Felis catus (domestic cat). It matches the Rfam family "tRNA". From Rfam's summary of the family: Transfer RNA (tRNA) molecules are approximately 80 nucleotides in length. Lineage: Eukaryota; Metazoa; Chordata; Mammalia; Carnivora; Felidae. The record is from Rfam by way of RNAcentral.
GUCUGGGUGGCUCAGUCGGUUGAGCAUCCAACUUCGGCUCAGGUCAUGAUCUCGCAGUCUGUGGGUUCGAGCCCCACUUCAGGCU